This 485-nucleotide ribosomal RNA is filed under the name uncultured bacterium. RNAcentral describes it as "bacterial SSU rRNA". It matches the Rfam family "Bacterial small subunit ribosomal RNA", at positions 28 to 507 of the family's 1533-position model. The record is from RNAcentral.
GACGAACGCUGGCGGCGUGGAUUAGGCACGCAAGUCGAACGGUAUCAUCCUUCGGGGGUGAGAGAGUGGCGAACUGGUGAGUAACACGUAGGUUAUCUACCCUCAAGACGGGGACAACCCAGGGAAACUUGGGCUAAUACCGGAUGUGAGCAACUUUUAGUGUUUGAAAGGUGGCGUAAGCUGUCGCUUGGGGAUGAGCCUGCGUCCUAUUAGUUAGUUGGUGAGGUAACGGCUCACCUAGGCAAUGAUAGGUAGGCGGCCUUAACGGGUGGUCGCCCACACUGGGAUUGAGAUACGGCCCAGACUCCUACGGGAGGCAGCAGUCGAGAAUAGUCUACAAUGGUCGGAAGACUGAUAGUGCGACGCCGCGUGAACGAUGAAUCCCUUCGGGGUGUAAAGUUCUUUUAUAUGUGAGCAGUGCUUCUUAUAUUAACAGUAUGGGGAGAGAGAUAUUAGCAUAUGAAUAAGCAACGGCUAACUCCGUG